Molecule: long non-coding RNA, 2520 nt
Organism: Oreochromis aureus
Lineage: Eukaryota; Metazoa; Chordata; Actinopteri; Cichliformes; Cichlidae
Source: Ensembl
AAAUCAUCCAUGGGAUAAAAGAUGGUGUAGCUACUGUGAUGCUACCUGUUGGUUUCUGAACUGCCUCGCUAGGCUUCAGCCUUGAGGUGAAUGUUUCUGCCAUUGCCGUCUUGGCGGCAAGAAACUGAAUGUGAGAAGAAGGGGUUAGCGAGGGGAAAAUACCAGGGUUAAUCCUCAGUUUUGAAACAUGGUAUGAUGAAACAGGAUUUUGUUUUUUCCAAAAUAGCUCUUAACUCAGGAUGACCCAAACUAAGUGACUCAGACAAUGAACUCAGCAGGAAAUUGUUUACAGAGGCUAAGUUAGAAAACGUUUUUGGAACAACAGCUAUCACCAUCUAGUGGCCUAGAUAGGAUUAAGGUACAUCUGCACUGGCUUUAUUUUUCUGACCCGCAAGCUAUGUCAACUUUCUUUUGCUAUUUGUGCACAUACUUGAUAACUACUUUCCAAGUCAACUACUUGACAAGUAGUUAUCAAACCUUAAAAAAGGGUGAUACAAUCCACAAAUGGAAAAUAUUUAGCUUCACAGUAAAGGCUAUGUCAGUACUGCAGCCAUCACAUUUGAAAAGGCAGUUUUUACUAUGAAGGCAAAUGUUCUCUACUUUGGUGGUUUGCGUCACCCCUUUUCAGUUUUCCUUACUGCUAAACUAGUAGUUAGUGAGUGUUUGCUGAGAAGUCGUCCAAACAAACUAUGGGCGAACAUGCUAAUCUGCUAGCAAUCAAUGCAAUUACAAGGAGGCGUUUUGUGCUGCACCAUAUACUUCUUUGCGAUCAAUUUCACCUUAGGCGUGCCAGCAACCAUUUGCCAGCUGGUGGAGGGUGGUUACCAGGGGGUCAGUAACCAGUCUCUUGGGGUCUGGGGCCUUAAGCUUUAUUUAGAUUUUUGCAUUCAUUCUAUAGAAAGUCUGUGAUCUAGCCUACGCAUUUAUAACUGUGUGUAGUGAGCCUUUGUUGCUCUGCAGUACCACUGCCAAAACAUUAUUUGGAAGUAGAGUUUCUCUCCUCAAGUUGAUCCAUUUUAUUUCAGUCAAUUUAAAAAAUUACGACAGAAGAGAAAGUAGCUGGAAGCACAGAGGAGGAAUCGGUGAUACUGCUCUUAAGUGUCAGUGCAGGUGGUGCUGAUCCGAAACAUAGUUGUAUUUAUAAGGAAGUACACAUCAGAUUAUGGCGUAAGCUGCGGUGUGGGGUUUCAAAAAGUUUAUAAGAACAUAUAAGUAGAACUAAUCUAAGUUAAGCUAGGCUAAGCUAACUAGCUGCUAACUGUUUCUACACAGUGAACACAUAUACUUGAGCGGAGUUCGACUCCUCUGCUAGAAUCCUCCACUCCUGGUCACAGAAUAUGCGUUGCAUAUCCAAAGACAGACAUAUUAUUCAGUUAAUCUGUUUUUAAUAAUAAAUGCCUCCAACAGGGAUUUGGUGCACAGCUACAAAAAGUUGAAGGGCAGCUGAGCCUGAGCCAAGCUGUAAAAAUGCUAAUGCUUAAAAUGCAACCUAAAAGUGCCAUAAUUCAUCACAUUGUAGUGUAAAUUCCCACAUCUUUUAAACAUCAUGCCCAGACUUUCUUUGAAUCUUCAACCGAGAUAACCCUGAUUAUAUCACUUUAGUUGUUUCCUCACACUUUUAAAGCCUUUCGGUCUUUUUGCUAGCUCAGUAGUACUUUUUUUUAUUUUAAAAAACAAAGCAAAACAAAAACCCCUGUCCUUUCACUUCCUAGCAAGUUGGUGCUAAAACAUUUUAAAAACAAGUUGUUUAUAAUCUUUCAACAAGUGUGCUGUGCUCAGGUUUUUUAUUUAUAGUGUCAAGUAUAGAUAUGAAGUAGCACAACAGUUUGUGCCUUUGGAGCUUUUUUUUCUGUAAAGUUGAAAAAGCAAAGCAAAAAUAAAAUGUACUAUUUUGUGUAUUUCAAUCAGCUGCUGGUGUUUUCAUUUCUACCCGUGUUUACGCGUGAAUACACCAAACACACAAAGGCGUUGUGCUGACGGUGCGCUCUUGGUGUGCCUCUCGGAGUGAGUCAGACAGCAGAUACAGGUUGCGCCCAUCUAUAUAUUUUACACACACAAACAUGCAGGGUGCGUGUAAAGGAGGCUGUGGGAGGUGACAGCGCAGCAGACACUCUGGAGUCUCUGGAUGCUAAUAACACACCGCUGACACUGAGAGAGACGGGUGUACGCCGCUUUCAUGCGGCACACACUUGAAAAGGGGAGGAGAAAUGUUUGUGUAGCAGUGUUAGUGUGUGUGUGUGUCUGUUACAAACAAGCUACAGUUAACCAACCAAACCCAUGGCUUCGCCAACAAAAAGAGGGUGUGACAAGGAAGAAGAACAUAGACUUGCAUGCUUUCAAACAAUGUUACUAGGUAGAGUGAAAAUAUUACAUUGUGUCCUUGUCUGAAACCAUGACAUUAAAAGGAAUGCUCUGCAUUGUUAGAUGAGAUAAUUGCAUGUACCACAAAUCUUGGCAUACGUUGACUUAAAGUAAGUUAUGCAGAGCAAUUUAACCUCCCACGAAAUAAAGCAAUCUUCC